This is a ribosomal RNA of Pteropus vampyrus (large flying fox), 119 nucleotides long. Lineage: Eukaryota; Metazoa; Chordata; Mammalia; Chiroptera; Pteropodidae. The record is from Ensembl.
GUCUACGGCCACGCCAGCCUGAACAAGCGCGAUCCCAUUUGAUCUUGGAAGCAAAGCAGGAUCAGGCCUGGUUAGUACUUUGAUGGGAGACUACCUAGGAAGAUCAGGUGCUGUAGGUG